UAGGCAUAAGAGUUGCAUACAACUUAACAGCUUCUCUGUAUAGGAAAAUUAAAACGAAGGAAUCUAGGAUGUGAUUUUACCGUGUACUCCAAACUCAUAUUGAACAUUCUUUAGUGCAAAUUAGCACUACCUUUGCAAAAGGUAGUUAUUUCUCGUGUCUCCCAAAGUGGAGUUGUUUGCAAGGAGAGUUUGCGUAGGGUGGCUAGUACACUGUAAAUUCACAUCCUAAUUUAUCACUUAAUAAUGUUUGCAUGUGGACAGGCUCUUAGAUGGUUCACCAAAGCUCUAUGACAUGACACUGCUGACUGACUCCCAGCUGUGGGAAGUACUUUCAGAAGUUAUGUAGAAGUUUCAAAGUUCAAAUGGUGACUAAGAAGGACAUGUGGGGGCAUCUAAUUAAUCCUUGGUUUAACUCUACUCAUUCUUAGGAAGACACAGACAUGAAACUGAAAUGAAGAGUUUGGAAGAAGAUGCUAAUCUGGAAUUUAUCCUGGGAAAGUCAAAAGAAAGUUUAUUGGAAUGGAGGAACGGAGGUCUGAGAGGCUAUUAAACAGAAAGAUGUAACCACAAGCAAGUCACAUAACCAAACAGAGUAUUCAAGUCUGCCUUCAAUCAGCAUGUGAUAUUGCAGGUUUUCAAAGAUUAAGUAGAACAAUUCAGUGGAGCUGUUUCCUUGGUGAAGAAGCAUACUUUUUAAUCAGAUCAGGAUAUAUGGUCUUGGCAAGAUGUUAUGAACAUGUUGCAUACAGAAAACUUUGGAUUUGGAGACAAUAUUAGCAAAAGGAAGAUACAGAUGUUUAGUUUGGAAUGCCAUCACUAAGCUGCUGCUGAGAGGAAAAAAUGGCUUGUGGUUAAGGCAGUGAACUGAGAUUUCUGAGAUCUGAGUUUAAGCCAUAGGCUAUCACAAACUCCAUGUGUGACAUUUGGAAAAUCUUUAAUCUCCCCAUGUCUAUGUUCUCCAUUUGUAAAAAGGGUUGAUAAUGAUAAUUCUUUGUCUGCUUGAUCUAAUUAAACUGUAAAUGAUUUGAAA
Molecule: long non-coding RNA, 1030 nt
Organism: Gavialis gangeticus (Gharial)
Lineage: Eukaryota; Metazoa; Chordata; Crocodylia; Gavialidae
Exons: 3
Source: RefSeq, a predicted model, not a curated record